Molecule: long non-coding RNA, 245 nt
Organism: Micropterus dolomieu (smallmouth bass)
Lineage: Eukaryota; Metazoa; Chordata; Actinopteri; Centrarchiformes; Centrarchidae
Exons: 2
Source: RefSeq, a predicted model, not a curated record
CGACGACGACCAACGAGGCGACGACCCCGGCGGCGACGACGACCAACGAGGCGACGACUACUCUGAUGACCUCUGAGGCCCCUCAAGACCCCCAGUAGCCAGCUGACGUGACAACACAGCCAGAAAGGGCAUCUGAUGGCAUCUCAUCAAGAAGCCAAAAGUAUGGGACUAGAAACCAUGCAGGAGUUCACUUGCAUCCAAGGUUUUGCUUUUUGCCUCUGCUUUAAAUAAAACUAUGAACUUGA